Molecule: ribosomal RNA, 696 nt
Filed under: Lysinibacillus fusiformis
Lineage: Bacteria; Bacillati; Bacillota; Bacilli; Caryophanales; Bacillaceae
Description: bacterial SSU rRNA
Rfam family: Bacterial small subunit ribosomal RNA
Source: RNAcentral
AACACGUGGGCAACCUACCUUAUAGUUUGGGAUAACUCCGGGAAACCGGGGCUAAUACCGAAUAAUCUGUUUCACCUCAUGGUGAAAUAUUGAAAGACGGUUUCGGCUGUCGCUAUAGGAUGGGCCCGCGGCGCAUUAGCUAGUUGGUGAGGUAACGGCUCACCAAGGCGACGAUGCGUAGCCGACCUGAGAGGGUGAUCGGCCACACUGGGACUGAGACACGGCCCAGACUCCUACGGGAGGCAGCAGUAGGGAAUCUUCCACAAUGGGCGAAAGCCUGAUGGAGCAACGCCGCGUGAGUGAAGAAGGAUUUCGGUUCGUAAAACUCUGUUGUAAGGGAAGAACAAGUACAGUAGUAACUGGCUGUACCUUGACGGUACCUUAUUAGAAAGCCACGGCUAACUACGUGCCAGCAGCCGCGGUAAUACGUAGGUGGCAAGCGUUGUCCGGAAUUAUUGGGCGUAAAGCGCGCGCAGGUGGUUUCUUAAGUCUGAUGUGAAAGCCCACGGCUCAACCGUGGAGGGUCAUUGGAAAACUGGGAGACUUGAGUGCAGAAAGAGGAUAGUGGAAUUCCAAGUGUAGCGGGUGAAAAUGCGUAGAGAUUUGGAAGGAACACCAGUGGCGAAGGCGACUAUCUGGUCUGUAACUGACACCUGAGGCGCGAAAGCGUUGGGGAGCAAACAGGAUUAGAUACCC